RNAcentral lists this non-coding RNA (22 nucleotides) under Arabidopsis thaliana (thale cress). Lineage: Eukaryota; Viridiplantae; Streptophyta; Magnoliopsida; Brassicales; Brassicaceae. The record is from RNAcentral.
GACGCAGUCAUCCACGACUCUU